RNAcentral lists this ribosomal RNA (406 nucleotides) under uncultured Myxococcales bacterium. Its description in RNAcentral is "bacterial SSU rRNA". It matches the Rfam family "Bacterial small subunit ribosomal RNA", at positions 355 to 776 of the family's 1533-position model. Lineage: Bacteria; Pseudomonadati; Myxococcota; Myxococcia; Myxococcales. The record is from RNAcentral.
UGGGGAAUAUUGCGCAAUGGGCGAAAGCCUGACGCAGCCACGCCGCGUGAGUGAUGAAGGCCUUCGGGUUGUAAAGCUCUGUCGGAGGGGAAGAACAAAUGACGGUACCCUCCAAGAAAGCACCGGCUAACUCCGUGCCAGCAGCCGCGGUAAUACGGAGGGUGCAAGCGUUGCUCGGAAUCACUGGGCGUAAAGCGUACGCAGGCGGUGCGUUAAGUCGGGUGUGAAAGCCCAGGGCUCAACCCUGGAAGUGCACUCGAAACUGGCGCGCUAGAGUAUAGGAGAGGGAAGCGGAAUUCCUGGUGUAGAGGUGAAAUUCGUAGAUAUCAGGAGGAACAUCAGUGGCGAAAGCGGCUUCCUGGCCUAUAACUGACGCUCAUGUACGAGAGCGUGGGGAGCAAACAGG